AGGAUGAACGCUGGCGGCGUGCCUAAUACAUGCAAGUCGAACGAGGUCUUCGGACCGAGUGGCGAACGGGUGAGUAACACGUUGGUACCUACCCCGAAGUGGGGAAUAACUGGCCGAAAGGUCGGCUAAUACCGCAUAAUACCGCAAGGUUAAAGCAGUAAUGCGCUUCGGGAGGGGCCUGCGUCCCAUUAGCUUGUUGGUGAGGUAACUGCUCACCAAGGCAACGAUGGGUAGCUGGAUCGAGAGGUUGACCAGCCACACUGGGACUGAGAUACGGCCCAGACUCCUACGGGAGGCAGCAGUAAGGAAUCUUCCACAAUGGACGAAAGUCUGAUGGAGCAACGCCGCGUGCAGGAUGACGGCCUUCGGGUUGUAAACUGCUUUUAUAUGGGAAGAUUAUGACGUACCAUAUGAAUAAGGACCGGCUAACUACGCGCCAGCAGCCGC
RNAcentral lists this ribosomal RNA (447 nucleotides) under uncultured bacterium. RNAcentral describes it as "SSU rRNA". It matches the Rfam family "Bacterial small subunit ribosomal RNA", at positions 26 to 518 of the family's 1533-position model. The record is from RNAcentral.